Molecule: unclassified non-coding RNA, 236 nt
Filed under: uncultured fungus
Lineage: Eukaryota; Fungi
Description: sequence contains ITS1
Source: RNAcentral
GUAUUGAUUGCGGGUUAGCGCAUAAAUGAGGUCAUUCUACACUUUUUAAAAGGGGUGUUUGUGUGAAAACGCGAGCCUCCUCCGAGAUGAUCCCAAAGGGUGCCCACGCGGUGAUGCACAAAGGGUGAGAUGGAUUGUGUGAGAGGGCUCGGGCGUGCACGACCGGGGAAGGUCAGCGACAGCCCUCGCGCCUCGGUUUAACGAUAAUGAUCCUUCCGCAGGUUCACCUACGGAAA